UCUCCGUUGGUGAACCAGCGGAGGGAUCAUUACCGAGUUUACAACUCCCAAACCCCAUGUGAACCUUACCAAACGUUGCUUCGGCGGGAUGCCCCGGGCGCGGGCCGCAAGGCCUCAGUCCCGGAACCAGGCGCCCGCCGGAGGCCCAAACCAAACUCUUGUUUUUGUAGAAUCUUCUGAGUGGCCUUUUAGGCAAAAAAUGAAUCAAAACUUUCAACAACGGAUCUCUUGGUUCUG
This 237-nucleotide unclassified non-coding RNA is filed under the name plant metagenome. RNAcentral's name for it is "partial contains small subunit ribosomal RNA, internal transcribed spacer 1, and 5.8S ribosomal RNA". The record is from RNAcentral.